AACGAACGCUGGCGGCGCGCCUAAUACAUGCAAGUCGAGCGAGAAGACGUAGCAAUACGUUUGUAAAGCGGCGAACGGGUGAGGAAUACAUGGGUAACCUACCCUCGAGUGGGGAAUAACUAGCCGAAAGGUUAGCUAAUACCGCGUACGCUCCUUGGACUUCGGUUCAGGGAGGAAAGCGAUACCGUGGGUACCGCGCUCUUGGAUGGGCUCAUGUCCUAUCAGCUUGUUGGUGAGGAACGGCUCACCAAGGCUUCGACGGGUAGCUGGUCUGAGAGGACGAUCAGCCACACUGGCACUGCGACACGGGCCAGACUCCUACGGGAGGCAGCAGUAAGGAAUAUUGCGCAAUGGGCGAAAGCCUGACGCAGCGACGCCGCGUGGGGGAUGAAGGUC
This 396-nucleotide ribosomal RNA is filed under the name uncultured bacterium. Its description in RNAcentral is "bacterial SSU rRNA". It matches the Rfam family "Bacterial small subunit ribosomal RNA", at positions 29 to 416 of the family's 1533-position model. The record is from RNAcentral.